RNAcentral lists this small RNA (68 nucleotides) under Granulicella rosea. RNAcentral's name for it is "NAD+-I sequence". It matches the Rfam family "nadA riboswitch". The record is from Rfam by way of RNAcentral. Lineage: Bacteria; Pseudomonadati; Acidobacteriota; Terriglobia; Terriglobales; Acidobacteriaceae.
GCUUUCAACAUCCCCGUUUCACGAGCGGAAAGCGCGCCUUGCGCGAACGACUCGGUGAGACUGAAGGC